This 752-nucleotide long non-coding RNA is filed under the name Marmota monax (woodchuck). The record is from RNAcentral. Lineage: Eukaryota; Metazoa; Chordata; Mammalia; Rodentia; Sciuridae.
GUUUUUCUGGUAAGCCAGACACUGAUAGGCAAUUUGGCAGACGUUGCACAAACAGCUUCCCUUAGUUCUGCCUCCAGGGAGAAGCAAUGCAGGCUGCUGUCUCCAUUUACAACAUUCUUCUAGGGCACAGCUGCCAGCCUUCUUGCCAAAACAAAUAGAACUGAGCCUUUGCUCUACCUCGUGAACUGGCAUUAACUAUUUGUAGCCCAGAAAGAUAAACUUUUUAAAAAAACUUUUUGAUAAGGGUGUUGAACAUGGUGGAAGAGUGGCAGCCACUGUAUAGGAGCUGCUCCCUAAUGCUGAAUAAAAACCAGAGUCCCCUGGUGGCAUGGUGAGGCAGGUGGCCUGGGGAAGAGCACGGGGAGCAAGUCAGAGCCAGCCACAAAGUAGAACCCAGAAACACCAGUUCUUAGGAUGGAAAGAGAAGAAAACGGAUUCACUGCACCUGCGCCAGGUGCAGGGUGGCUCAGGGGGCAGGGAGCUCCCCUCCAGGGAGCUGAGAGUGUCCUAGUGAGUUUAAGAAGAAGCAGACCCACCAUCUGAGCAGAAGGAGCCUCAUGAAGUGAGCUGGUGGGGCAGGGGGUCCCAGCACUUCUCAGACCAUAGAGUGAAUCAGGGACCUGGUGGCAGCCUAGAGGGCAUCCGUGUUUAAACCCUUUGUGUGGGAGACAGCGACUCCUGUGGUUUUCCUUGAUUUCCUUUUUUCUUCUUUUUGCCCUGCAGAAGCAAUGGCCACCUGUGCUUGACUUCCC